Molecule: small nuclear RNA, 104 nt
Organism: Suncus etruscus (white-toothed pygmy shrew)
Lineage: Eukaryota; Metazoa; Chordata; Mammalia; Eulipotyphla; Soricidae
Source: RefSeq, a predicted model, not a curated record
UUGCUCACUUCGGCACAGAUACUAAAAUUGGAACAAUACAGAUGAGAUUAGCAUGUCCCCUUUGCAAGAAUGACACGCUAACUCAUGAAGUGUUCCAUAUUAAA